Molecule: ribosomal RNA, 461 nt
Filed under: uncultured bacterium
Lineage: Bacteria
Description: bacterial SSU rRNA
Rfam family: Bacterial small subunit ribosomal RNA
Source: RNAcentral
GGCCCGCACAAGCGGAGGAACAUGUGGUUUAAUUCGAUGAUACGCGAGGAACCUUACCCGGGCUUGAACUGCCAGAGAACGAUACAGAGAUGUUGAGGCCCUUCGGGGCUCUGGUGGAGGUGCUGCAUGGUUGUCGUCAGCUCGUGCCGUGAGGUGUCGGCUUAAGUGCCAUAACGAGCGCAACCCCUCUCUUCAGUUGCCAUCAGGUCGAGCUGGGCACUCUGGAGACACUGCCACCGCAAGGUGUGAGGAAGGUGGGGAUGACGUCAAAUCAGCACGGCCCUUACGUCCGGGGCUACACACGUGUUACAAUGGGUGAUACAGAGCGUCGGCUUGCCGCAAGGAGAGUCUAAUCGCGAAAGUCAUCCUCAGUUCGGACUGGGGUCUGCAACCCGACCCCACGAAGCUGGAUUCGCUAGUAAUCGCGCAUCAGCCAUGGCGCGGUGAAUACGUUCCCGGGC